Molecule: ribosomal RNA, 449 nt
Filed under: uncultured bacterium
Lineage: Bacteria
Description: partial 16S ribosomal RNA
Rfam family: Bacterial small subunit ribosomal RNA
Source: RNAcentral
GUGGGGAAUUUUGGACAAUGGGCGAAAGCCUGAUCCAGCAAUGCCGCGUGUGUGAAGAAGGCCUUCGGGUUGUAAAGCACUUUUGUCCGGAAAGAAAUCUGUCUGGCUAAUACCUAGAUGGGAUGACGGUACCGGAAGAAUAAGCACCGGCUAACUACGUGCCAGCAGCCGCGGUAAUACGUAGGGUGCGAGCGUUAAUCGGAAUUACUGGGCGUAAAGCGUGCGCAGGCGGUUUUGUAAGACCGAUGUGAAAUCCCCGGGCUUAACCUGGGAACUGCAUUGGUGACUGCAAGGCUAGAGUGCGUCAGAGGGGGGUGGAAUUCCGCGUGUAGCAGUGAAAUGCGUAGAGAUGCGGAGGAACACCGAUGGCGAAGGCAGCCCCCUGGGAUGACACUGACGCUCAUGCACGAAAGCGUGGGGAGCAAACAGGAUUAGAACCCGAGUAGUCC